Molecule: ribosomal RNA, 440 nt
Filed under: uncultured Oscillospiraceae bacterium
Lineage: Bacteria; Bacillati; Bacillota; Clostridia; Eubacteriales; Oscillospiraceae
Description: bacterial SSU rRNA
Rfam family: Bacterial small subunit ribosomal RNA
Source: RNAcentral
CCUACGGGUGGCUGCAGUGGGGAAUAUUGGGCAAUGGGGGAAACCCUGACCCAGCGACGCCGCGUGAAGGACGAAGGCUUUCGGGUUGUAAACUUCUUUGGGGAGGGACGAAAUUGACGGUACCUCCAGAACAAGCCACGGCUAACUACGUGCCAGCAGCCGCGGUAAUACGUAGGUGGCAAGCGUUAUCCGGAUUUACUGGGUGUAAAGGGCGCGCAGGCGGUUCUGAAAGUCAGAUGUGAAAGAUCAAGGCUUAACUUUGACAGGUCAUCUGAAACUUUGGGACUUGAGUAUCAGAGGGGAAAGUGGAAUUCCUGGUGGAGCGGUAAAAUGCGCAGAGAUCAGGAGGAACACCGGUGGCGAAGGCGACUUUCUGGCUGACAACUGACGCUGAGGCGCGAAAGCGUGGGGAGCAAACAGGAUUAGAUACCCCAGUAGUC